CGCAAAGUCUGCCUGCGGCAGGUUA
This 25-nucleotide small RNA is filed under the name Pantoea ananatis. The record is from RNAcentral. Lineage: Bacteria; Pseudomonadati; Pseudomonadota; Gammaproteobacteria; Enterobacterales; Erwiniaceae.